GUGAAUCAUCGAAUUUUUGAACGCAAAUUGCACUCUCUGGUAUUCCGGAGAGUAUGCCUGUUUGAGGGUCAGUUUAAAUAAAAAUCGGUGUGGUUGCUGCCUUUCGUGGUGACGCACCGGAUUUGGGUCGGCUUGCCUUCGGUUAGGCGACCUAAAAUUUUGCAUGGUUUUUUUCGAACGUUUUUAACUGUUUUUACGUACGUUUUGGAUAUCGAAUACUAGGUGUGGUACUCUUCAUGAUGCGCCAC
Molecule: unclassified non-coding RNA, 248 nt
Filed under: Glomeraceae sp.
Lineage: Eukaryota; Fungi; Glomeromycota; Glomeromycetes; Glomerales; Glomeraceae
Description: partial contains 5.8S ribosomal RNA and internal transcribed spacer 2
Rfam family: 5.8S ribosomal RNA (bases 1-71)
Source: RNAcentral